GACGAACGCUGGCGGCGUGCCUAAUACAUGCAAGUAGAACGCACAGUUUAUACCGUAGCUUGCUACACCAUAGACUGUGAGUUGCGAACGGGUGAGUAACGCGUAGGUAACCUGCCUGGUAGCGGGGGAUAACUAUUGGAAACGAUAGCUAAUAACGCAUAAUAUUAAUUAUUGCAUGAUAAUUAAUUGAAAGGUGCAAUUGCACCACUACCAGAUGGACCUGCGUUGUAUUAGCUUGUAGGUGAGGUAACGGCUCACCUAGGGGAAGAUACAUAACCGACCUGGAGAGGAGGACGGGCAACCUGGGAACUGAGCAACGGCCAAGACUCCACGGGGGGGAACAAUAGGGGAAUAUUGGACAAUGAGGGAAAGCCUGACGAAGAACGGCGGGUGGGGUGAGGAAGGUUUUCGGUUGUAAAAGUACGUUGUGAGGGGAGAAAGGGUGUAAAGGUGGAAAGUUCACACUGUGACGGUAUCUUACCAGAAAGGGACGGCUAACUACGUG
Molecule: ribosomal RNA, 505 nt
Filed under: uncultured bacterium
Lineage: Bacteria
Description: partial 16S ribosomal RNA
Rfam family: Bacterial small subunit ribosomal RNA
Source: RNAcentral